Molecule: small nucleolar RNA, 89 nt
Filed under: Microcebus murinus (gray mouse lemur)
Lineage: Eukaryota; Metazoa; Chordata; Mammalia; Primates; Cheirogaleidae
Source: RNAcentral
GGACCCCCCCAUGAUGUUCAGCACUGAGCUCUGACUGCCCAUGAGAACACUGCCCCUAGACCUUUGCCACCCGGGAGUCUGAGGGGCCC